Molecule: ribosomal RNA, 497 nt
Filed under: uncultured bacterium
Lineage: Bacteria
Description: partial 16S ribosomal RNA
Rfam family: Bacterial small subunit ribosomal RNA
Source: RNAcentral
GACGAACGCUGGCGGCGUGCCUAAUACAUGCAAGUAGAACGCUGAAGAGAGGAGCUUGCUCUUCUUGGAUGAGUUGCGAACGGGUGAGUAACGCGUAGGUAACCUGCCUUGUAGCGGGGGAUAACUAUUGGAAACGAUAGCUAAUACCGCAUAACAAUGGAUGACACAUGUCAUUUAUUUGAAAGGGGCAAUUGCUCCACUACAAGAUGGACCUGCGUUGUAUUAGCUAGUAGGUGAGGUAAUGGCUCACCUAGGCGACGAUACAUAGCCGACCUGAGAGGGUGAUCCGCCACAAUAGAACUAGGACACGGCCCACAUUGCUACGAGUGGCAGCAGUAGCGAAUCUUCGGCAAUGGGGGCAACCCUGACCAAGAAACGCCGCGUGAGUAAAGAAGGUUUUCCGAUCGUAAAGCACUGUUGUAAGUCAAGAACGGAUGUGAGAGUGGAAAGUUCACACUGUGACGGUAGCUUACCAGAAAGGGACGGCUAGAUACAUG